AAGGAUCAUUAGCGAAGCUCGGAAUGCGUGUUCGGUCUGAUGCUGCCCAGCGAUGGGAUGUGCUCGGCCGGAUGCGUGUCCCUUCUCUAUUCCACCCCUUUGUGAACCAAGUGUGCGAGCCGAAGAGAGAUCGGAGGCUCGCAUGCAACCCUUAACAUACCCCAAUGAAGUAUCAGAAUGUACCUUGCGUUAACUCGCACAAAUACAACUUUCAACAACGGAUCUCUUGGCUCUC
Molecule: unclassified non-coding RNA, 235 nt
Filed under: uncultured fungus
Lineage: Eukaryota; Fungi
Description: partial contains 5.8S ribosomal RNA, internal transcribed spacer 2, and large subunit ribosomal RNA
Source: RNAcentral